UGUAGAAGCCAUAAUAGCCCUUGCAUGAGUAAAUUAGGCAUUUUCUUCAAACAUUACCCUUAUAAUUUAAGAAAUUCCUAUAUGUACAAAAACGUGCAACAUGCGCCAAAUCCAUCUACUUGUUUGAGCUAAGAUCCUUUUUUUACAAAGAGAGUACAUGGCAAAUUGUAGAUGUUUAUUGCAUAGUUGCUUACUGACUGUGAUUCUGCCUUACCUGUGUUUUUAAAGAGCAGAUUCAUUGCUACAGUAUGAAAAUGGUACCUCACUUCUCUAAGGUGGUUCUGUACCUUUAGAAUUUGAAAUAUUUAUAAAAUCUGAUGCCUGAGGUUUAUACAUUGACAUAAUCCCAACCUUUUGUUCUUGUUCUUUGGUUUUAAAGGUCAGACUGUUGUAUAAUGUUUUUGUUCAGGGGAUGCAUAUUUUUAGGGUGAAGAAAAAUACACCUUCAAACGUACAAAGCUAUACUAAAAUCUAGGACCCACAUUCUCUUAUGACUAAACUACUGUAUCUUCACUGAAGUAAAAAGAGGUGCUCCAGAUUGUCAGAAGUGUGAAAAGAGAACAGGGAUCCUUCCCUAACAUGCAUCACUGUGAAUUUUAACACCAUACAUAUGUCUAAAAUCCAAAGAAAUUCGUAUCUAUAUUUGGCUUUGGAAGCACAUGAAAUUUGAGUGAGCAGUUUUCUCAAGCAAGAAUUAAAAAUAGCAGAUAGAGGUAUCUAAUGCAGAGCAAAAUGAAAUAAAAAUGGCAUAUGAAUCAGUGAGCAAUUCACACUAUGACCUUGUUUAUUGGUUCAUGAAUAGUUUAUGUUCUCUCAAUCUUUAUAUUAAGCAGAAUUAUUCCUGAUUUUAAGACAGUACCUGCAUUGAAAACAGCAUAUUCCCUGUUCAUUGGCAGGUCUCCUUUGGGUCAAGUUUUUUCCUAUUGUGUUUAUCAAAUAAAUUCACAUUUGAUACUAUAGAAUGAGCUAAGGUAAUCCACUGUAGCAGUAUAAAUGUUAUACCUCACCAGCUGUUUUUGGCUUCAACUCUGAAGGUCAUUAUUGGUACAAUAUGAAGAGAAGUGUAAUGAGGUGUAUUUACUUAGGAAAUGCCUAGAGCAGAGUCACAGCAAGCCAGGAAGAGAGGAACAUUUCCAAGGUCUAGUCUAAUUGAUUGGAAGUUAUCAACUGUCCCACACAAAGGGAGAGCUCAUGAACAUUUCACAGAGUAGAAAUACUCAUUGAGAUCUUUAAUGAAAAGCAGAAGAAAGUCUGUGUUUCAAAGGAAAUGAAAGUCAAUGGGUCUGUCAUAUCCAAAGUUUCCUACUUUCCAUCUUUUUCCAUGCCUAAGACUGUGAUGCCUGUAUUUUGGGUUUGGGCCCAUUCCACUUAUGAUCUUGCUGAACCUUUCUUUUUUCAUCUGAGAUGCAACAAAGGACAACCAUACACUACUGAGAAGAACAUGAUUCUCUCCAGCUCCCUUUUCCUUGUGCCUGUAAUAUAUGCUUGAAAGAUAUGACAUUGUUCUCAGGAAAGAUCUAUUUUCUAUAUGCAUUAGCUAAUCCCAUUAAAAACUCCAUGGAGUAUUUUUCAUUUAGGCACACAGAAGAGCAAUUUUUCAUUGUUUGGAGAACUCCAUCUGUAUUGUUUUAUUAAACAGAAUGAAAAGGAACAAUCAAGCUCGAUCAAAGCACUUUCAACAAAAGAUCUCACAUGUACAGCACCACAGACUAAUCCCCCCUUAUGUCAGUCACUGACUCCCUACAGGAACACUGAUUUCACAGCAAGAAUAGAGUGGUGAACUCUCAAUGUCCUUUCUAUCCCAAAUUACUGUAUGAUUCUAAAAUCACAUUUUGGUUUUCUUUGGUCCAGGUUAUGAUGCUUAAAACUGAAGUUUGGACGUCUCUGUUACUGCAGGAAAAGAUUAUAACCUUAAGAAUAAUUUCCUUAAAUGAAUCUAGUAACUCGCAUGCUCAGGAAUCACUGACUUCCCACGUACACAACCCCCAUGAUGGAUCUGCUACACUCCAAAUCAUGUGAGUGACAACAGGUUUGACAGCCUUUGGGGCGGUGAAGGAUCUGGCGAGAGCAAGCCUCCCCAGCAUGCUCAUUAGCCCUAAGCAAUCGUGUCUGUAAUCAUGCUACUGAAAUGAGGAAGUCCUGAAAGACCAGCAGACUGAGAGAUGACUGAGAAGUUGGAGCCAUGGCUAUUUGUCUAGGACUUGGUGUCAUGAAUUUCCUUUGGUUCACGGACUCUGUGGGCUCCAAGGAGGGUAAAAAAUUCUGACCUGCAGCCUGAGGUCAAAGUAUAAACCUCUUCCUGAAGAGUUCAACUUUCCAUAGAGCUGCUGGACUAGAAUGUAUUAAUGUGAUGUUCAAUUUACCCUCAUUUUCCUUACAUGAAGGGAAAUGUGGACAUUCAGUAAAGGUGCCAAUCAGCUGUGCUUGACAUGACUGGACUAGGUCAGGAAGUUGCAAGUCUUGUUAAGUGCCUUCAGUGCAGAAGCAAUUAGAACCUGAUAGCCUUUUAUUUCUCUUGUCACUUUCAGGUAUUUUUAAAUAUAAUAUGACAGAAACAAAUGCAAUGGGGUGAUUUUUAUUCUACCUAGCUCAUCUAGCAUUGCUGUCAAGUUAAGUUAUAAUUUUGAGAGGAAAUCACCAAAUAACAUAUUUAAUGGUUUUGCUAUGAUAAAUCACAUCAUCAUUAUUCAGAUAGAAAAUCUAAAAUAAUAAUACUAUCUUCUCGAUUUUUUUCUAUUAAUUCUGCUAUAUAUCAAUGGGAAGAGAAAUGACAGCUGAUAUAUAUCCAGUACAUAUAAAUGUGUUUGUAUGUAGCUGCUCCAUAUUCCAUUUAAAGGUAAAGCAGCUUCUGUGCAUUCUAUUGCAUGUUCUUAUAGCUGUAAAUGGGCAUGUGAAAGCAAACACAGUUGCAUAUCAACAGCUUAGGCCAUCAGUCUGCACUGACCCUUUGAGGUCAAUGAAAACAAUGAGUUCCAUGGGCUUUUCAGUUAGAUUCUGAGUAUAUGUACCUCUUCAGCACAGAUGUUUAUUUCAACUGCAGAAGGAAACAAAAGUAUUGACAGGUAACCAUAUCAUCCUUAAAGCAUGAGAACUUUGCUUUCACAUAUGAACCAAAAUUUGCUUGGUUUGUUUCAGAAGGCUUUUACACAGCUUCACUUUAGUUGCAGUAAAAUAGAAACAAAAAUUUACUUUAAACUUUUUUGUGUCCUUGCACAAUCUCAAAAAAGAAUUUGGUGGCUCAUGAAUGUCUUCAAUUAAGUAAAAAUGCAUUUAAUUUGUGUAAGUCAAUAAUUUGAAACAAUCAUGCUUAGAAAUUUAAAUUAACAUAAUGAGCAGAAAAAAAUGUCUCUUCUAAUCUUUAUAUUGUUUUAGGUUGAACAUAUUUCAUUGUUGACUUUUGAAUUUGUUACUGGUUGAAGUUUAAAUUGCAACAAUGAAGGAAUAUUUCUUUCAGGUUUAAUUUUCUCCUUGUUUAAUAUAGCUGUCAAGUCAUGAGAAAAAGUCAGAUCAUGCAAAUAACGUUUUUAAACAGAAAAAUAUUUUAUAACAUGGAUAAACUUCAUUUGUCUCAGCUUUAAAAAGGAAUAGAUUAUUUAGAAUUCACAAAUCCAUGAGCAAUAGAUUUUGUAUCUGAUUUGCUUCUUUUGUAAAGGCAAGCUGAAGCAAACUAUUUCCUGCUGGUGUUCACAAUAAGCAUAUCUCCUGGUUUCCCAGAAUGAUUCUCUUGAAAGAGCUAAAAAUUGUCCAGGUAAAAGAAACCUUGAGAGGAUCAUAUUUGGUUGAAAUUAAUGAUUCUUCCAAAAUUACAUUUCUUAUAUAUGGGAUGCAAUUUGCAAAAUUUCAUUUGAGGUAGAAAAACCAUCACCAUAAUGCUAAAAUAUCUCAUUUUACCAUUUCCAUAACAAUUAAGUUUUGCGGUUGAUUUUGCUACUCACAUUUUCUAUUUCUAUUGUAGUUUUUUUCCCCCACUCUGUAAAUUACACUACUUUAAAAGUUUAACCAGACACAGGAAUUUUCCCUUCCUUAUGUCACCUUGUUAAAACUUACCUUCCUGGAGGGUUUGGAGUCUUGAAGAUUUGUUAUGCAUUGACUUUUUUUUUUUUCCAAAAAUGGAGCUUCCAGCCUCUCCACAGCUCUAAGAGUUGAUUUUCUAAUGCCUCUUUAUAGUUUGAUUCAGAUUUCAUGUAAAAGAGUGAUAAUUCUGCGAGGGGAUCUCUCAAAGUGUCCAAAGCUUGGUGCACCUGCAGUAGAGGUGCACAGACCAACUGAGGAGGUUGUAUGUAUCCAUCUCAGGCAAUUCAGGACAGAGCUGGAUGUCCAAACUGAGAAGCUUGCCUGGUUCUGCUGGUUAUUUUUAAAGUAAAACAUGACAUCUGAGCACCUCAGUGUAAAACAUGAAAUCUGCCCACCUCAGUGUAAGGAAAGUGAGGUUGGACCAGAUGACCCCACCAUGGUCCCUCCCAACCUUACCCUUUCAGUGAUUCAGAGAGAACAUCAAACUGAUUUUCUCUUCAGGAGGAUGCUCAGGGCUGGAGGUGAGACAUGGCAGGCCACUGGGACAUAGGUGUGAGUGACAUUUCUGACACGUUCCUCACCACAGAGGCUCCCUCUUGGCUAAUUAUUGUCUAUUGAUUGCCGAGCUGGGUGGUUCCAGCCCCCUGAUUGCCUUUAGUGUGCUGCUGUGGGGGCUCUGGCUGUCUGAAUGCUCCCUGCAAGGGAGCCUGAGCACCCAUUUUUUAAAAUCACCUAAAUCCUUUGUAGACACAGGACUUUGGUAAAAAUAAAACUCCAGCUGAAUGAGAGGACAUUUAUGAGUAUCAAAAAUGAAGUUAUUUAGCAAAGAUAAUCUCCUGUUCAGAUACCACAGCACACUAUUUCAUAGUGAAACUUUUGAAUUUUAAUUACUUGACAAAUCUGAAAAAAAAAUUUUCUGGAUUGAUUGUCAGUUUUCUGUAUUUAUAGUUUCAAUUAACUUCACUGCUUAUAAACCACUGUUUAUGUUAAAUAUUUUUUAAAGCUAUUAAAUUUUUAU
Cyanistes caeruleus (blue tit) is the source of this 5032-nucleotide long non-coding RNA. RefSeq lists it as uncharacterized. NCBI's taxonomy places the organism in Eukaryota, Metazoa, Chordata, Aves, Passeriformes, Paridae. The record is from RefSeq and is a predicted model, not a curated record.